This 255-nucleotide ribosomal RNA is filed under the name uncultured bacterium. Its description in RNAcentral is "partial 16S ribosomal RNA". It matches the Rfam family "Bacterial small subunit ribosomal RNA", at positions 524 to 776 of the family's 1533-position model. The record is from RNAcentral.
UACGAAGGGGGCUAGCGUUGCUCGGAAUCACUGGGCGUAAAGCGCACGUAGGCGGCUUUCUAAGUCAGGGGUGAAAUCCUGGAGCUCAACUCCAGAACUGCCUUUGAUACUGGAGAGCUCGAGUCCGGAAGAGGUGAGUGGAACUGCGAGUGUAGAGGUGAAAUUCGUAGAUAUUCGCAAGAACACCAGUGGCGAAGGCGGACUCACUGGUCCGGUACUGACGCUGAGGUGCGGAAAGCGUGGGGAGCAACAGGG